Molecule: ribosomal RNA, 497 nt
Filed under: uncultured bacterium
Lineage: Bacteria
Description: partial 16S ribosomal RNA
Rfam family: Bacterial small subunit ribosomal RNA
Source: RNAcentral
GAUGAACGCUGGCGGCGUGCCUAAUACAUGCAAGUCGAGCGAACAGACGAGGAGCUUGCUCCUCUGACGUUAGCGGCGGACGGGUGAGUAACACGUGGAUAACCUACCUAUAAGACUGGGAUAACUUCGGGAAACCGGAGCUAAUACCGGAUAAUAUAUUGAACCGCAUGGUUCAAUAGUGAAAGACGGUUUUGCUGUCACUUAUAGAUGGAUCCGCGCCGCAUUAGCUAGUUGGUAAGGUAACGGCUUACCAAGGCAACGAUGCGUAGCCGACCUGAGAGGAUGAUCAGCCACACUGGAACUGAGACACGGUCCAGACUCCUACGGGAGGCAGCAGUGGGGAAUCUUCCGCAAUGGGCGAAAGCCUGACGGAGCAACGCCGCGUGAGUGAUGAAGGUCUUCGGAUCGUAAAGCUCUGUUAUUAGGGAAGAACAAAUGUGUAAGUAACUAUGCACGUCUUGACGGUACCUAAUCAGAAAGCCACGGCUAACUACGUG